UACGUAGGUGGCAAGCGUUAUCCGGAUUUACUGGGUGUAAAGGGAGCGUAGACGGCAAGGCAAGUCUGAUGUGAAAGGUCGGGGCCCAACCCCGGAACUGCUUUGGAAACUGUGCAGCUGGAGUGCAGGAGAGGUAAGUGGAAUUCCUAGUGUAGCGGUGAAAUGCGUAGAUAUUAGGAGGAACACCAGUGGCGAAGGCGGCUUACUGGACUGUAACUGACGUUGAGGCUCGAAAGCGUGGGGAGCAA
RNAcentral lists this ribosomal RNA (248 nucleotides) under uncultured Marvinbryantia sp. RNAcentral's name for it is "partial 16S ribosomal RNA". It matches the Rfam family "Bacterial small subunit ribosomal RNA", at positions 524 to 771 of the family's 1533-position model. The record is from RNAcentral. Lineage: Bacteria; Bacillati; Bacillota; Clostridia; Lachnospirales; Lachnospiraceae.